RNAcentral lists this transfer RNA (76 nucleotides) under subsurface metagenome. RNAcentral describes it as "tRNA-Arg". It matches the Rfam family "tRNA". From Rfam's summary of the family: Transfer RNA (tRNA) molecules are approximately 80 nucleotides in length. Their secondary structure includes four short double-helical elements and three loops (D, anti-codon, and T loops). The record is from RNAcentral.
GCGCCUGUAGCUCAGGGGAUAGAGCGACGGAUUCCGGAUCCGUAGGUCGCAGGUUCGAUUCCUGUCAGGCGUGCCA